RNAcentral lists this ribosomal RNA (510 nucleotides) under uncultured bacterium. RNAcentral's name for it is "partial 16S ribosomal RNA". It matches the Rfam family "Bacterial small subunit ribosomal RNA", at positions 28 to 507 of the family's 1533-position model. The record is from RNAcentral.
GACGAACGCUGGCGGCGUGCUUAACACAUGCAAGUCGAACGAAGAGCGAUGGAAGCUUGCUUCUAUCACUCUUAGUGGCGAACGGGUGAGUAACGCGUAAUCAACCUGCCCUUCGGAGGGGGACAACAGUUGGAAACGACUGCUAAUACCGCAUACGAUCUAAUCUCGGCAUCGAGGAUAGAUGAAAGGUGGCCUCUACAUGUAAGCUAUCACUGAAGGAGGGGAUUGCGUCUGAUUAGCUAGUUGGAGGGGUAACGGCCCACCAAGGCGAUGAUCAGUAGCCGGUCUGAGAGGAUGAACGGCCACAUUGGGACUGAGACACGGCCCAGACUCCUACGGGAGGCAGCAGUGGGGAAUCUUCCGCAAUGGACGAAAGUCUGACGGAGCAACGCCGCGUGAGUGAUGACGGCCUUCGGGUUGUAAAGCUCUGUUAAUCGGGACGAAAGGCCUUCUUGCGAAUAGUGAGAAGGAUUGACGGUACCGGAAUAGAAAGCCACGGCUAACUACGUG